UACGUAGGGUGCGAGCGUUAAUCGGAAUUACUGGGCGUAAAGCGUGCGCAGGCGGUUUUGUAAGGCAGAUGUGAAAUCCCCGGGCUUAACCUGGGAAUGGCAUUUGGGACUGCAAGGCUGGAGUGCGGCAGAGGGGACUGGAAUUCCUGGUGUAGCAGUGAAAUGCGUAGAGAUCAGGAGGAAUACCGAUGGCGAAGGCAGGUCCCUGGGUUGACACUGACGCUCAUGCACGAAAGCGUGGGGAGCAAACAGG
This 253-nucleotide ribosomal RNA is filed under the name uncultured bacterium. RNAcentral's name for it is "partial 16S ribosomal RNA". It matches the Rfam family "Bacterial small subunit ribosomal RNA", at positions 524 to 776 of the family's 1533-position model. The record is from RNAcentral.